Molecule: ribosomal RNA, 450 nt
Filed under: uncultured soil bacterium
Lineage: Bacteria
Description: bacterial SSU rRNA
Rfam family: Bacterial small subunit ribosomal RNA
Source: RNAcentral
GACGGGUGAGUAACGCGUGGGCAACCUGCCUUCAACUGGGGGAUAACACUGGGAAACUAGUGCUAAUACCGCAUGAAAUCAUGACAUCCAAAGGAGCGGUAGAAGAUGGGCCCGCGUCCGAUUAGCUAGUUGGUGAUGUAACGGACCACCAAGGCGACGAUCGGUAGCCGAACUGAGAGGUUGACCGGCCACAUUGGGACUGAGACACGGACCAGACUCCUACGGGAGGCAGCAGUGGGGAAUAUUGCGCAAUGGGGGAAACCCUGACGCAGCAACGCCGCGUGAAGGAUGAAGGUCUUCGGAUUGUAAACUUCUUUGAUGAGGGACGAAUGACGGUACCUCAAAAACAAGCCACGGCUAACUACGUGCCAGCAGCCGCGGUAAUACGUAGGUGGCGAGCGUUGUCCGGAAUUACUGGGUGUAAAGGGCGUGUAGGCGGGAGUACAAGUC